This 523-nucleotide ribosomal RNA is filed under the name Ectrychotes sp. MF-2017. Its description in RNAcentral is "partial 16S ribosomal RNA". It matches the Rfam family "Bacterial large subunit ribosomal RNA", at positions 1824 to 2608 of the family's 2925-position model. The record is from RNAcentral. Lineage: Eukaryota; Metazoa; Arthropoda; Insecta; Hemiptera; Reduviidae.
AACAUGUCCUUAUGGUUAUAUAUUUAAGGUUUAACCUGCCCAAUGAAAAUUUUUUAAUGGCCGCAGUAUUUUAACUGUGCUAAGGUAGCAUAAUCAAUUGUCUUUUAAUUAAGGGCUUGAAUGAAUGGUUGGACAAAAUAUUAACUUUCUUUUUAUUAAUUAAUGAAUUUAAUUUUUAAGUGAAAAAGCUUAAAUAUAUUUAAGGGACGAGAAGACCCUAUAGAGCUUUAUAUUUAUAUUUAUUUAAUGAAUUUGUUUAUGUAUUUUAUAAUAUUUUGUGUAUUUUGUUGGGGUGACAGUAAAAUUUUAUUAACUUUUAUUUUUUAUUAUCAUUUAUUUAUGUUACUUUGAUCCAUUAUUAAUGAUUAGAAGAUUAAGUUACCUUAGGGAUAACAGCGUAAUUUAUUCGAAGAGUUCAUAUUGAUGAAUAAGUUUGCGACCUCGAUGUUGGAUUAAAAUUAGAUUUAGGCGCAGAAGUUUAUUAUCUAGGUCUGUUCGACCUUUAAUUUUUUACAUGAUCUGA